This 356-nucleotide ribosomal RNA is filed under the name uncultured prokaryote. RNAcentral describes it as "bacterial SSU rRNA". It matches the Rfam family "Archaeal small subunit ribosomal RNA", at positions 102 to 461 of the family's 1478-position model. The record is from RNAcentral.
CGAUAACUUCCCCUACGGUUCAGGAUAGCCUUGGGAAACUGAGGGUAAAACUGGAUAUGUGAUUGAUACUGGAAUGUUCUUUCAUUGAAAAGCAAUGCCAUAGGAUAGGUCGGCGGCUGAUUAGGUAGUUGGUGAGGUAACGGCUCACCAAGCCUUGGAUCAGUAGGGGCCAUGAAAGUGGGAGCCCCGAGAGGGGUACUGAGACACUUACCCCAGCCCUACGGGGUGCAGCAGGCGCGAAACCUCUACAAUGUACGAAAGUGCGAUAGGGGAAUCCCAAGUGCUUAUAGUUUACUAUAGGCUUUUGCUAAGCGUAAAUAACUUGGCGAAUAAGUGGUGGGCAAGACCGGUGCCAG